GCCAGACUCCUACGGGAGGCAGCAGUGGGGGAUAUUGCACAAUGGGGGGAACCCUGAUGCAGCGACGCCGCGUGGGUGAAGAAGCGCCUCGGCGCGUAAAGCCCUGUCAGCAGGGAAGAAAAUGACGGUACCUGAAGAAGAAGCCCCGGCUAACUACGUGCCAGCAGCCGCGGUAAUACGUAGGGGGCGAGCGUUAUCCGGAUUUACUGGGUGUAAAGGGAGCGUAGACGGUUAAUCAAGUCUGAAGUGAAAGCCCGCGGCUCAACUGCGGAACGGCUUUGGAAACUGAGUAACUGGAGUGCUGGAGGGGCAGGCGGAAUUCCUGGUGUAGCGGUGAAAUGCGUAGAUAUCAGGAGGAACACCGGUGGCGAAGGCGGCCUGCUGGACAGUAACUGACGUUGAGGCUCGAAAGCGUGGGGAGCAAACAGGAUUAGAUACCCGUGUAUG
Molecule: ribosomal RNA, 447 nt
Filed under: uncultured bacterium
Lineage: Bacteria
Description: partial 16S ribosomal RNA
Rfam family: Bacterial small subunit ribosomal RNA
Source: RNAcentral